UUUGCAAAGGAAACAGAAAAAAACAACAACAAAAAAAAACCAGAACAAAACUGAACAAAAUAAAGUGAAGACUUCAACACUUGGGGCUGUUCAGAAAGAAGCUCUCACCAUUUUAUAGCAUCAUUUUUUUUAGGCAGCAACACUGGCCUUGGCAAAAAAAAAAAAAAAAAAGUCACUUUCUUUUGUAUUUUUUUUUUUCUUUCAGUGAGUGCAUAACAUUUACAAAAAUACACACCAGCAGCAGUCGUUGCUAAGGGCUAUACUUCUGUACCUAGGCAAACACUCUGCCACCAAUAAAUGCUAACGAAUAUGAUGCAAAUGACCCAACCAAUUAUUAUACUUAACACAAACCAGCUUAUCCUUCAAAUGAAGAAGUUAACAUACCUUUGUUUCAAAAUAUAGAAACAUACGACGAAAAUAAUGUCUAUACAUAAGACUAACUUUUUGCAGUUUGUUAUAUUCACAAUUCUACAUCUUGGGCGCGAGGGGGGGGGGUGUGGAGGGGUUGGGGAAGGGGCCCUUUGGACAGGAGAGGAGCUGGACUGGGGCAAAAGGGGUGGAUAUCUCCUGGUUCAAGGGUCUCUCUCCUUUUUCACUUUAACAUCCCCAGCUAAGAUCGUCGCGAUUUCGCCCUGCAUGAAGGCCCAAGGUACAUUCGACCCAACUAGGGCCUUGAUACUCUCUCUAGAGCAAGGGAAGCAGAAUUUGUGGCUGGGAACGGAGGGGCACUGGACAAAAUGCGUGUCCUCCAAACGUUCGUGGCAAAUGGUACAGCAGAGAGGCCCGCUGUUGGCCAUAGGGGAAUCCGGAAUGUUUUGGGGAUGCACUUGGUCCAUGCCCGGGUGGGUGCUAGGCGGCGGGGGCGCCACCUGUAAAUUCAGGUCCCCGUUCCGCGACGUCAGGCGGCGCUGCCCAGGUACGGAGGCCGGUGACACCGGGCUGCUGCUGUUGCGCCGCGCGGAGGCCGUGGUGGAGUGCACCGAGCUGCCGUCCUUGGGCGAGUGCGCCGUGCCCAGAGUGUCUGCCACCGACAUGAGGGCGGCCAUGGGCGACGGACCGUUCUGA
Molecule: long non-coding RNA, 1065 nt
Filed under: Ovis aries (sheep)
Lineage: Eukaryota; Metazoa; Chordata; Mammalia; Artiodactyla; Bovidae
Description: lncRNA (ENSOARG00000026721.1)
Source: RNAcentral